RNAcentral lists this ribosomal RNA (760 nucleotides) under Bacillus cereus. Its description in RNAcentral is "bacterial SSU rRNA". It matches the Rfam family "Bacterial small subunit ribosomal RNA", at positions 621 to 1433 of the family's 1533-position model. Lineage: Bacteria; Bacillati; Bacillota; Bacilli; Caryophanales; Bacillaceae. The record is from RNAcentral.
GGACAUUGGAAACUGGGAGACUUGAGUGCAGAUAGAGGAAAGUGGAAUUUCUGUAACUGACACUGAGGCGCGAAAGCGUGGGGAAGCAAACAGGAUUAGAUACCCUGGGUAGUCCACGCCCGUAAACGAUGAAGUGCUAAGUGUUAGAGGGUUUCCCGCCCUUUAGUGCUGAAGUUAACGCAUUAAGCACUCCGCCUGGGGAAGUACGGCCGCAAGGCUGAAACUCAAAGGAAUUGACGGGGGCCCCGCACAAGCGGUGGAGCAUGUGGUUUAAUUCGAAGCAACGCGAAGAACCUUACCAGGUCUUGACAUCCUCUGACAACCCUAGAGAUAGGGCUUCUCCUUCGGGAGCAGAGUGACAGGUGGUGCAUGGUUUGUCGUCAGCUCGUGUCGUGAGAUGUUGGGUUAAGUCCCCGCAACGAGCGCAACCCUUUGAUCUUAGUUGCCAUCAUUAAGUUGGGCACUCUAAGGUGACUGCCCGGUGACAAACCGGGAGGAAGGUGGGGAUGACCGUCAAAUCAUCAUGCCCCUUAUGACCUGGGCUACCACCACGUGCUACAAUGGGACGGUACAAAGAGCUGCAAGACCGCGAGGUGGAGCUAAUCUCAUAAAACCGUUCUCAGUUCGGAUUGUAGGCUGCAACUCGCCUACAUGAAGCUGGAAUCGCUAGUAAUCGCGGAUCAGCAUUGCCGCGUGUAUACGUUCCCGGGCUUGGUACACACGCCCGUGCACACACGAGAGUUGUACACCGAGUCGUGGG